RNAcentral lists this ribosomal RNA (298 nucleotides) under uncultured bacterium. RNAcentral describes it as "partial 16S ribosomal RNA". It matches the Rfam family "Bacterial small subunit ribosomal RNA", at positions 475 to 776 of the family's 1533-position model. The record is from RNAcentral.
CUAUGCGCCUUGCCAGCCGCUCAGGUGUGCCAGCCGCCGCGGUAAUACGUAGGUGGCAAGCGUUAUCCGGAAUUAUUGGGCGUAAAGAGCGCGCAGGUGGUUAAUUAAGUCUGAUGUGAAAGCCCACGGCUUAACCGUGGAGGGUCAUUGGAAACUGGUUGACUUGAGUGCAGAAGAGGGAAGUGGAAUUCCAUGUGUAGCGGUGAAAUGCGUAGAGAUAUGGAGGAACACCAGUGGCGAAGGCGGCUUCCUGGUCUGCAACUGACGCUGAGGUUCGAAAGCGUGGGUAGCAAACAGG